GCAAGACCGUGAGGUGGAGCAAAACUCAAAAACUUGUCUCAGUUCGGAUUGUAGGCUGAAACUCGCCUACAUGAAGCUGGAGUUGCUAGUAAUCGCGAAUCAGCAUGUCGCGGUGAAUACGUUCCCGGGCCUUGUACACACCGCCCGUCACACCAUGAGAGUUGGCAAUACCCAACGUACGUGAUCUAACCCGCAAGGGAGGAAGCGUCCUAAGGUAGGGUCAGCGAUUGGGGUGAAGUCGUAACAAGGUAAC
RNAcentral lists this ribosomal RNA (253 nucleotides) under uncultured bacterium. RNAcentral describes it as "partial 16S ribosomal RNA". It matches the Rfam family "Bacterial small subunit ribosomal RNA", at positions 1249 to 1500 of the family's 1533-position model. The record is from RNAcentral.